CGGUCCUAACCAUUUUAUGACGUCCACCGAAACCUAGAUUGAUCGGCCCUCCCAAACCCAGCUCUUGGACAAGAAAAAGACUUUCUUCCCGAACGGAGGAUUCUUCUCCAUUUUCGUAUUCUCUACUUGUCCCCGAAAAAUCCCUGACGCAAAGCAUAACUCUCCGAUUCAUCUAUCAAUCUUUGAAGGCUAAUUUUUAUAGUCUCCGAGAUUAAGAUUUUUGGGUUGGAAUUAUUUCAGAGUUUUCAACCCUUGAAUUCAGGAUUUUCGGGGGUCAGAUUUAUUUUAUGGCAUUUGAAUGCCAAAAGGGUACGGAGGUUUCUAAGAAGCUAGUGGAUUGUGUAGAAAAUUCUUGUGAAGAACAAAUUGAGUUUAAUCAGUUCAAUUCCGAAGAGAAAACCAAAACAACAACAAUUUUAGAUCUCACAUCCAAGAAAGGCAUUAUAACCUCUGCCAAUUCGAAACACUUUUUGGGUAAUGAUGUUUUGCCCAUUUUUCGUCCCUCAUUUACCGACCUUCCUCCCGCAUUGAUAUCUGAAAUCCUUAACAGCCUUGAUCCGAAAGAGCUUGGUAUAGUCUCAUGUGUCUCGGCAAGUCUCCGUAGGAUUGCGUCUGACCACCAUGUCUGGAAGAAAUUCUAUUGUGAGAGGUGGGGUCUUCCAACAGUUCCAACACCUCUGGGUUCAGAGUAUUCAGAUGAGAAGUCAUGGAAGGAUUUAUUUGUGGAGAGGGAGUUUGGGAGUAAGACUUUUAUGGGACGUUAUAGCCUGGAUGCUAUGUAUGGCCACACUGAAGCAGUUCGCACUGUUUUCCUUCUGGCCUCUGCAAAGCUCAUAUUCACUUCAGGGUAUGACUCGGUUGUCCGAAUGUGGAACAUGGAAGCAGGUUUGUCGAUUGCGUCGUCACCACCACUUGGCUGCACUGUCCGCGCAGUUGCAGCGGAUACGAAACUAUUGGUUGCUGGUGUUACCGACGGAUUUAUCCAUGGUUGGAGGGCAGUGGAGGGGCUUCAAUACUUGUUUGACCUCAGGGGUUCUCAGAGCCAGAACACAGAGUUCCGACUAUGGGAACAUGAGGGACCUAUAACCUCUCUUGCUUUGGAUCUUACGAGGAUGUAUAGUGGUUCAUGGGACAUGACUGUUCGCAUAUGGGAUCGUUUUUCAUUGAAGUGCUUGAAGGUUUUGAGGCAUAGUGAUUGGGUAUGGGGACUUGUUCCUCAUGAUACUACAGUUGCUAGCACAUCAGGUUCGGAUAUUUAUGUUUGGGAUUCCAGCAGUGGGAAUUUGAUGACCAUUAUUCGUAAUGCUCAUGUUGGUCAUUCUUACGCUCUGGCGAGAAGCCACACUGGGAAUUUUCUUUUCACUGGUGGAGAAGAUGGUGCAAUACACAUGUUUGAGAUUGCAAGUCAUUGCGCUGAGACUGCUGUUUUUAAGGUUGCUACAUGGAUUCCCCACUCAGGUCCUGUGCAUUCCCUUGCAUUUGAGUUUCCAUGGCUUGUUUCAGCUUCUAGUGAUGGGAAGCUGUCACUAAUUGAUGUAAGAAAGCUGCUAAAGACUAACAGAAGUGCUUCAGGGACGCGUGUUUCAAGGGCUAAGCAUGUGAGCCGGAAUAGUGUGGAGCCCCCACAGAGGAUGUUACAUGUGCAUGGGAAGAAUCUGUUCUCAGUUGACAUUGGGGCUGAUCGUAUAGUAUGUGGAGGGGAGGACGGUACUGUUAGGAUGUGGAACUUCUCGCAAGCAUUGGAAAUUGAGCAGAGGAUUCGUGCUUUAAGAGGAAUACGGUUGGAGAACAGGAUGAGGCGGCGCAGGCUCCAAAUAGAGAUGAACAGUAAAGGUGGUUGGACUGAUCAAUGUUCAGUUGCAGCCAAGAAGAACCCAAUUAAUGGUGACAGGAGUGUUGUUUGGCACAAUAAGCGUGGGAUGAGCAGCAAGCUGAAGGCAUAGAAGCACUGACAUUGUUUGCUUCUAGGCACCACUGCCCUUUUACUCUUUGGGUAUCUAAUAUCGAUGUAGUUUUCAAUUGAUGGUCCAAGCAGCCUGAAGUUUGCAUUCAGCUUUGAUAUUCGUGUUGACUAUGUAAUAUGUUGGCUGGCGGCCCUCUCAUGGGAUCCCGGAACUCUUCUUUAACGCAUCGCAUCAGGACGCGUAGCUGACGACAUUCUCUGUAUGUCUCUUCUUCAAGUCGCAUGACGACCCGCUUAUUGAAGUGCUUGCUGACGAGGCUUUCGGUGGCUCACUAUCUCGUCACGUCAGGACGACCUUGCGGACUCCAAUGUAGUGACUUCUCUCUUCCUCUGCAA
This is an RNA transcript of Alnus glutinosa, 2299 nucleotides long. It is a transcript of the gene named F-box/WD-40 repeat-containing protein At5g21040, with no coding region annotated. The transcript has 3 exons. The record is from RefSeq and is a predicted model, not a curated record. NCBI's taxonomy places the organism in Eukaryota, Viridiplantae, Streptophyta, Magnoliopsida, Fagales, Betulaceae.